Molecule: ribosomal RNA, 508 nt
Filed under: Staphylococcus aureus
Lineage: Bacteria; Bacillati; Bacillota; Bacilli; Caryophanales; Staphylococcaceae
Description: partial 23S ribosomal RNA
Rfam family: Bacterial large subunit ribosomal RNA
Source: RNAcentral
CCGAAACCAGGUGAUCUACCCUUGGUCAGGUUGAAGUUCAGGUAACACUGAAUGGAGGACCGAACCGACUUACGUUGAAAAGUGAGCGGAUGAACUGAGGGUAGCGGAGAAAUUCCAAUCGAACCUGGAGAUAGCUGGUUCUCUCCGAAAUAGCUUUAGGGCUAGCCUCAAGUGAUGAUUAUUGGAGGUAGAGCACUGUUUGGACGAGGGGCCCCUCUCGGGUUACCGAAUUCAGACAAACUCCGAAUGCCAAUUAAUUUAACUUGGGAGUCAGAACAUGGGUGAUAAGGUCCGUGUUCGAAAGGGAAACAGCCCAGACCACCAGCUAAGGUCCCAAAAUAUAUGUUAAGUGGAAAAGGAUGUGGCGUUGCCCAGACAACUAGGAUGUUGGCUUAGAAGCAGCCAUCAUUUAAAGAGUGCGUAAUAGCUCACUAGUCGAGUGACACUGCGCCGAAAAUGUACCGGGGCUAAACAUAUUACCGAAGCUGUGGAUUGUCCUUUGGACAAU